GGAUUGCUCAGUCAGUAGAGCAUGAGACUCUUAAUCUCAGGGUUGUGGGUUUGAGACCCACAUUGGCCA
Molecule: non-coding RNA, 69 nt
Organism: Podarcis lilfordi (Lilford's wall lizard)
Lineage: Eukaryota; Metazoa; Chordata; Lepidosauria; Squamata; Lacertidae
Source: the annotation of a GenBank genome assembly